AAUAUUGCACAAUGGGCGAAAGCCUGAUGCAGCAACGCCGCGUGAGCGAUGAAGGCCUUUGGGUCGUAAAGCUCUGUCCUUGGGGAAGAAAAAAAUGACGGUACCCUUGGAGGAAGCCCCGGCUAACUACGUGCCAGCAGCCGCGGUAAUACGUAGGGGGCAAGCGUUGUCCGGAAUUAUUGGGCGUAAAGGGUGCGUAGGCGGCCUAUUAAGUCAGAUGUGAAAGACCACAGCUUAACUGUGGGGUUGCAUUUGAAACUGGUGGGCUUGAGUAUCGGAGAGGGUAGUGGAAUUCCAAGUGUAGCGGUGAAAUGCGUAGAUAUUUGGAGGAACACCAGUGGCGAAGGCGACUACCUGGACGAAAACUGACGCUGAGGCACGAAAGCUAGGGGAGCAAAC
RNAcentral lists this ribosomal RNA (399 nucleotides) under uncultured bacterium. RNAcentral describes it as "partial 16S ribosomal RNA". It matches the Rfam family "Bacterial small subunit ribosomal RNA", at positions 360 to 773 of the family's 1533-position model. The record is from RNAcentral.